Molecule: small nucleolar RNA, 95 nt
Filed under: Aerococcus sp. Group 1
Lineage: Bacteria; Bacillati; Bacillota; Bacilli; Lactobacillales; Aerococcaceae
Description: putative Small nucleolar RNA SNORD91 family
Source: RNAcentral
UUUAGAUGAAAAUGAUAAUAUUUUAGAUUUUAACGAAAUCUGUCCGAUUCAUGUAUAUAAUGAAGACUUUAUAAAAGAAAACUUUAUUUUUGCUA